GCAGUUUUAUCACACAGCACAAUGCCACAGAUGUCACAAGUUGAGGAAGCGUGCAAUUGGCAUGCUGACUGCAGGAAUGUCAAUCAGCUGUUGCACGCGAAUUGAAUGUUCAUUUCACUACCAGAAGCAGUUUCCGAGAAUUUGGCAGUACAUCCAACUGGCCUCACAACCGCAGACCAAGAGUAACUACACCAGCCCAGGACCUCCACAAUCGUCUGAGACCAGCCACCCGGACACCAGCUGCAACAAUCGGUUUGCCUAACCAAAGAAUUUCUGCACAAACUGUCAGAAACCGUCUCAGGGGAGCUCAUCUGCAUGCUCGUCGUCCUCAUCAGGGUCUCAACCCGACUGCAUUUCGUCGUCAUAACCGACGUGAGUAGGCAAAUUCUCACAUUCGAUGGGGUCUGGCACUUUGGAGAGGUGUUCUCUUCACUGUAUAGGGCAGAUCGUGUAUAUGGCAUUGUGUGGGUGAGCGGUUUCCUGAUGUCAACGUUGUGGAUAGAGUGGCCCAUAGUGGCGGUGGGGUUAUCAUAUGGGCAGGUGUACGUUAUGGACAAACAGUUGCAUUUUAUUGAUGACAUUUUGAAUGCACAGAGAUACCGUGAUAAGAUCCUGAAGCCCAUUCUUGUGCCCUUCAUCCACGACCAUCACCUCAUGUUGCAGCAUGAUCAUGCACGGCCUCAUGUUCAAAAGGAUCUGUACACAAUUCAUGGGAAGCUGAAAACAUCACAGUUAUUGUAUGGCCAGCAUACUCACCGGAUAUGUCAACCAUUGAGCAGGUUUGGGAUGCUCUAGAUCGGUGUAUACGACAAUGUGUUCCAACUCCUGCCAAUUUCCAGCACCUUCGCACAACCAUUGAAGGAGUGGACUAACAUUCCACAGGCCACAAUCAGCAACCUGAUCAACUCUAUGCGAAGGAGAUGUGUUGCACCGCGUGAGGCAAAUGGUGGUCACACCAGAUACGGACUGGUUUUCGGACCAGUCACCCAGUACAGUAAAACUGCACAUUUUAGAGUGGCCUUUUGUUGUGGCC
Non-coding RNA from Pelobates cultripes (western spadefoot toad), 1033 nucleotides. The record is from the annotation of a GenBank genome assembly. NCBI's taxonomy places the organism in Eukaryota, Metazoa, Chordata, Amphibia, Anura, Pelobatidae.